This 250-nucleotide ribosomal RNA is filed under the name uncultured Physarum sp. RNAcentral describes it as "partial 18S ribosomal RNA". It matches the Rfam family "Eukaryotic small subunit ribosomal RNA", at positions 28 to 245 of the family's 1831-position model. The record is from RNAcentral. Lineage: Eukaryota; Evosea; Eumycetozoa; Physariida; Physaraceae.
AUGCUUCUCCUAAAGGCUAAGCCAUGCAUGCCUUCGAAUAGAAGAGCAAUCUCUUUGAAUCUGCGAGCGGCUCCGCACACCAGUUGUAAACUAUAGCAAGUCCGUGCGCCUACUGAGCAAUCGGUAGGCGUACUAACAGGGAUAACCCUGGUAAUCCUGAGGCUAAUACAAGAACGUAAACUCGACCGACUGGGCAACUGGGAGAUCGAGGGUCGUGUGAGCUUUAUGCAAUACUCGACAUGAAUGGAUG